AUGGCUGUCGUCAGCUCGUGUCGUGAGAUGUUGGGUUAAGUCCCGCAACGAGCGCAACCCCCGUCGCAUGUUGCCAGCAUUUAGUUGGGGACUCAUGCGAGACUGCCGGUGACAAACCGGAGGAAGGUGGGGAUGACGUCAAGUCAUCAUGCCCCUUAUGUCCAGGGCUACACACGUGCUACAUUGGCGUAUACAGAGGGCUGCGAUACCGCGAGGUGGAGCGAAUCCCUUAAAGUACGUCUCGGUUCGGAUUGUAGGCUGAAACCCGCCUACAUGAAGGUGGAGUUGCUAGUAAUCGCGGAUCAGCAUUGCCGCGGUGAAUACGUUCCCGGGCCUUGUACACACCGCCCGUCACACCACGGGAGUUGGUAACACCCGAAGCCGGUGGCCUAACCGCAAGGAGGGAGCCGUCGAAGGUGGGACCAGUGACUGGGGUGAAGUCGUAACAAGGUAGCCGUACCGGAAGGUGCGGCUGGAUCACCUCCUUUCUAGGGAGCCCCAUAACGGGGCACGUAGGGAAACGCGUCGCCAGGCGCUUCUGCAGGCCUUCGGGCCACCGGACUUUCUCUUCACGAGCGAGCCGGCGCGGAAAGCUGACCUGACCGACUACGCCUCUACGGCUAGAACGUCGACCGAGCCUAGGGCUCAUUUGCGAGCGACCCAUCCCGGGGAGCUUUAGCGCGAGUUGUGCUGUUGAGUUUUGAGAGACCGGCAUCGGCCCGGUCGGUGAGCGAUCUGCUCGCCGGCGGGGCCACGCCCCUCUUGGCGGCCCUUGAAAACUGCACAGUAGCCACACGAUCCACCCUUUUACGAUAAGCGGGGUGGAUCACGGGUAUCACCGACGUCUCCUCUUUGCCGGGGAGGCGCUCGAGAAGAUCACCGUCAAGAUAGUAAGGGCAGAUGGUGGAUGCCUUGGCACCUAGAGCCGAUGAAGGACGUGGACGACUGCGAUAAGCCACGGUGAGGCGUUGAACAGCCUUUGACCCGUGGAUUUCCGAAUGGGGAAACCCGG
Molecule: small RNA, 1012 nt
Filed under: uncultured Patulibacter sp.
Lineage: Bacteria; Bacillati; Actinomycetota; Thermoleophilia; Solirubrobacterales; Patulibacteraceae
Description: bacterial SSU rRNA
Rfam family: Bacterial small subunit ribosomal RNA (bases 1-488)
Source: RNAcentral